GGAGCAGCCCAGAGUAUGAAUCAGCUUGUGUGUUAGUGUAACGUUCUGUAUAGUCAGACGGUAAAGGGUGAUAUUCCCGUACACCAAAAUGCACAGGCUGUGAACUCGAAGAGUAGGGCGGGACACGUGGUAUCCUGUCUGAAUAUGGUGGGACCAUCCUCCAAUUCUAAAUACUCCUGACUUACCGAUAGUGAACCAGUACCGUGAGGGAAAGGCGAAAAGAACCCCGUCGAGG
RNAcentral lists this ribosomal RNA (235 nucleotides) under Klebsiella pneumoniae. RNAcentral describes it as "partial 23S ribosomal RNA". It matches the Rfam family "Bacterial large subunit ribosomal RNA", at positions 294 to 534 of the family's 2925-position model. Lineage: Bacteria; Pseudomonadati; Pseudomonadota; Gammaproteobacteria; Enterobacterales; Enterobacteriaceae. The record is from RNAcentral.